This 496-nucleotide ribosomal RNA is filed under the name uncultured bacterium. Its description in RNAcentral is "partial 16S ribosomal RNA". It matches the Rfam family "Bacterial small subunit ribosomal RNA", at positions 29 to 507 of the family's 1533-position model. The record is from RNAcentral.
AUGCACGCUGGCGGCGUGCCUAAUACCUGCACGUCGAGCGAACAGACGAGGAGCUUGCUCCUCUGACGUUAGCGGCGGACGGGUGAGUAACACGUGGAUAACCUACCUAUAAGACUGGGAUAACUUCGGGAAACCGGAGCUAAUACCGGAUAAUAUAUUGAACCGCAUGGUUCAAUAGUGAAAGACGGUUUUGCUGUCACUUAUAGAUGGAUCCGCGCCGCAUUAGCUAGUUGGUAAGGUAACGGCUUACCAAGGCAACGAUGCGUAGCCGACCUGAGAGGGUGAUCGGCCACACUGGAACUGAGACACGGUCCAGACUCCUACGGGAGGCAGCAGUAGGGAAUCUUCCGCAAUGGGCGAAAGCCUGACGGAGCAACGCCGCGUGAGUGAUGAAGGUCUUCGGAUCGUAAAACUCUGUUAUUAGGGAAGAACAAAUGUGUAAGUAACUAUGCACGUCUUGACGGUACCUAAUCAGAAAGCCACGGCUAACUACGUG